GGUGAACGCUGGCGGCGUGCCUAACACAUGCAAGUCGAGCGGUGCAGUUUGAAGCUUCGGUGGAAAGCUGCAUAGCGGCGGACGGGUGAGGAAAACGUAGGAACGUGCCCCUUGGAGUUGGAUAGCCACGGGAAACUGUGGGUAAACCGACAUAGACUCGAGAGAGUAAAGGCCGAAAGGCGCCAAGGGAGCGGCCUGCGGCCCAUCAGGUAGUUGGUAGUGUAAAGGACUACCAAGCCGACGACGGGUAGCCGGUCUGAGAGGAUGGCCGGCCACAAGGGCACUGAGAGACGGGCCCUACUCCUACGGGAGGCAGCAGUGGGGGAUUUUGGACAAUGGGCGAAAGCCUGAUCCAGCGACGCCGCGUGGAGGACGAAGCCCUUCGGGUGUAAACUCCUUUCUCAGGAAAAGGAUGAUGGUACCUGAGGAAUAAGCCCCGGCUAACUACGUG
This 451-nucleotide ribosomal RNA is filed under the name uncultured bacterium. RNAcentral's name for it is "bacterial SSU rRNA". It matches the Rfam family "Bacterial small subunit ribosomal RNA", at positions 28 to 507 of the family's 1533-position model. The record is from RNAcentral.